CGAUAAGUAAUGUGAAUUGCAGAUACUCGUGAAUCAUUGAAUUUUUGAACGCACAUUGCGCCCUUGAGCAUUCUCAGGGGCAUGCCUGUUUGAGCGUCAUUUCCUUCUCAAAAGAUAAUUUAUUAUUUUUUGGUUGUGGGCGAUACUCAGGGUUAGCUU
RNAcentral lists this ribosomal RNA (159 nucleotides) under Hanseniaspora uvarum. RNAcentral describes it as "5.8S ribosomal RNA". The stretch from base 1 to 99 matches the Rfam family "5.8S ribosomal RNA", at positions 56 to 154 of the family's 154-position model. Rfam says of the family: 5.8S ribosomal RNA (5.8S rRNA) is a component of the large subunit of the eukaryotic ribosome. It is transcribed by RNA polymerase I as part of the 45S precursor that also contains 18S and 28S rRNA. Functionally, it is thought that 5.8S rRNA may be involved in ribosome translocation. Lineage: Eukaryota; Fungi; Ascomycota; Saccharomycetes; Saccharomycodales; Saccharomycodaceae. The record is from RNAcentral.